Molecule: unclassified non-coding RNA, 321 nt
Filed under: fungal sp.
Lineage: Eukaryota; Fungi
Description: partial internal transcribed spacer region
Rfam family: Eukaryotic small subunit ribosomal RNA (bases 1-46)
Source: RNAcentral
AAGUCGUAACAAGGUUUCCGUAGGUGAACCUGCGGAAGGAUCAUUAACACGUAUCCAACGUUAAACCCCCCGUGAACCUUCAUUGUGCUCCCCCAUUCCGUUAGGACGCGGCAAUCCCUGGUAAAUCAUCGCCGAACAGUUUUGAAUGGAGUGGGCAGUGGCAUUCGAAAGAAUGGCGCAGUAACGAUCGCUAGAGGCCGACACGGCCGGCGACCGGGUCACUGGGCUCACGCCCCCCUAUCACCUUUGCAUGAAAACGGGCCUGCGCUUAAUUGUGCGGCCACCAAACUCGAACUGUUAACAAUGGAUAUCUUGGUUCUC